GAGGUCGGGUCGGAACCCACUGCCGGUAGUUAGCCGGUAUUCCCCUGCAGGGAAGCCGCGCCGUUCACGGCGCGGAGGAUGUCACACCAGC
This 91-nucleotide small RNA is filed under the name Natrinema hispanicum. RNAcentral's name for it is "Haloterrigena hispanica HgcC family RNA". Lineage: Archaea; Methanobacteriati; Methanobacteriota; Halobacteria; Halobacteriales; Natrialbaceae. The record is from RNAcentral.